ACACCAUCACAGUAUUAGUCACAUGAUCUCAGUAUUAGUCACAUGAUCUCAGUAUUAGUCACAUGACCUCAGUAUUAGUCACAUGAUCUCAGUAUUAGUCACAUGAUCUCAGUAUUAGAUCUCAGUAUUAGUCACAUGAUCACCAUCUCAGUAUUAGAUCACAUGAUCACUUUCUCUCUCUUUUGACUGGACAGAGACUCUAGGUCUUCAUGGUGCUCAUCAGGGACAUUGACAUCUUACCUCCUUAUUUGUUUCAAGACAAAGCUAUUUCACGAUGAGAGCCGUUGUUAUUAAAAGAUAACGUGCUAUUUCACGAUGAGAGCCAUUGUUAUUAAAAGAUAACAGCUCUCGGCUGAAUUUGUAAUUGUCACGUCAGAGCCCGGACCUGCACCAGCCACGCCCCCUUUGGUUUCCACUCGCUCACCUGCACCGCGUUCACAUUCACCUGUUAACUAAUCACCCACACCUGUCACUGCCCUACUUAUACCUCGCACUCCCUUCAUAUACCACUGUCACUUUUCAUAGGUUUCACAGUGUGUUUCACAGUUCGCUUCUUGCACUAACACUGAAUUAUAUUUUAUGUGUGAUGACUUAUUUUGCUUUUGUAAGCCAAUACUUUCAAGAUCAGUCAAUAAAUAUUGUUGGUUUUGACUUAUGUUACCCCUUCUUUAUGAUGUUACUGGACAUAUCAUGUGUCCUGUUAAGCUCAUACAAGAUUUGAGACACGUGGAUAAUGAAAAAGUGGGAUCAUUUAAUGUGGAGCCACAUCAUGUUUGCUUAUGAAGGCUCCUGGAUGCAACUUCCUUCCAUAGCUUUCCACCUGUAACUUGCUACUCUAGCUAUGUAGCAAGAGAGGACAUAUUACUGUUGUGUGCUGCCAAUAGUGGACAAAAAGGUAUUGCUGUAUGAGUUAAUCAGCUAACUUAAUGUACCUACUGAAUGGGUCGGCCUAAUCAUUAUCAAAAAAAUUGCCUCCCCUGAGAAUUUUUUCAGGAGCCGCCACUGCUCACCUGAAUACUAAUCACCCACACCUGUCACACCUGUCACACCUGUCACAGCCCUACUUAUACCUCGCACUCCCUUCACUCGGGGUCUGGUCUGGCACUGUAUGGAUUACUUUCCAAGUCCUGCAUUCCUGACGUCUGAUGAGUAUCGCUAUAGUUCGCAUUCAAGUUUGUCUUUGUUUCUUUCAUAGCCUCAGUUAUAGUUUGUCCAUAGUCUUGCAGAGUUCGACUCGAGUGUUUUGUUUCACGCUAAGGCGUGUUAGUUUGGUUUAGUUUGUUCUAAGAGUAAGACUCUGUUUAUUUCCUUUCUGCGCCUUCCGUGCCUGUUUCCUGAGUUUCAUUCAGUGCUUCGAGCCUGCGCCCCUCCGUGGGUUUGUCUACGUGCAAGAGGAUCUGUUCCUCAUCAUCUGUGUUCCCCUACAACCUGUGGUCUGUCGUGUUUGUUCCCUGGCUGUCUAUCUGCAAUAAACUCUGUUUGCAAGAAACU
Long non-coding RNA from Clupea harengus (Atlantic herring), 1491 nucleotides. The record is from Ensembl. NCBI's taxonomy places the organism in Eukaryota, Metazoa, Chordata, Actinopteri, Clupeiformes, Clupeidae.